RNAcentral lists this long non-coding RNA (323 nucleotides) under Pelobates cultripes (western spadefoot toad). Lineage: Eukaryota; Metazoa; Chordata; Amphibia; Anura; Pelobatidae. The record is from RNAcentral.
UUAAAGGACCACUAUAGUGCCAGGAAAACAUACUCGUUUUCCUGGCACUAUAGUGCCCUGAGGGUGCCCCCACCCUCAGGGACCCCCUCCCGCCCGGCUCUGGAAGGGGGAAAGGGUUAAAAACUUACCUUUUUCCAGCGCUGGGCGGAGAGCUCUCCUCCUCCGAUCCUCCUCUUCUCCUCCUCCUGGGCUGAAUGCGCACGCGCGGCAAGAGCUGCGCGCGCAUUCAGCCCGUCGCAUAGGAAAGCAUUUACAAUGCUUUCCUAUGGACGCUAGCGUGCUCUCACUGUGAAAAUCACAGUGAGAAGCACGCAAGCGCCUCU